CGCCUCUUGAAUCUCAUAAGAGGUCCAGCCUGCCCAGUGACACAAUUAAACGGCCGCGGUACCCUGACCGUGCGAAGGUAGCAUAAUCACUUGUUCUCUAAAUAAGGACUUGUAUCAACGGCAUCACGAGGGUUAUACUGUCUCCUCUUUUUAAUCAGUGAAACUGACUUUCCCGUGAAGAGGCGGGAAUAGAAAUACAAGACGAGAAGACCCCAUGGAGCUUUAAACCCAAUAGUAACCUCUAUUUACUAUUACUACUUAAUCAAGAAGGUCUACCUACUGGUUUUAGGUUGGGGUGACCCUGGAGUAAAACUAAGCCUCCAUGACGAAUAGAAUUAUUCUAAUCCCAGAGCCACUGCUCUACGAAUCAAAAUUUUGACGUAAACUGAUCCGCCUAGCGAUCAACGAACCAAGUUACCCUGGGGAUAACAGCGCAAUCCAUUUCAAGAGCCCCUAUCGACAAAUGGGUUUACGACCUCGAUGUUGGAUCAGGGUAUCCCAGUGGUGCAGCCGCUACUAAAGGUUUGUUUGUUCAACAAUUAAAACCCU
This 549-nucleotide ribosomal RNA is filed under the name Limnonectes doriae (Doria's frog). Its description in RNAcentral is "partial 16S ribosomal RNA". It matches the Rfam family "Bacterial large subunit ribosomal RNA", at positions 1817 to 2597 of the family's 2925-position model. Lineage: Eukaryota; Metazoa; Chordata; Amphibia; Anura; Dicroglossidae. The record is from RNAcentral.